RNAcentral lists this long non-coding RNA (1000 nucleotides) under Sorghum bicolor (sorghum). RNAcentral describes it as "long non-coding RNA (SBIC_LNC000142)". The record is from RNAcentral. Lineage: Eukaryota; Viridiplantae; Streptophyta; Magnoliopsida; Poales; Poaceae.
CCCCACCCCGCCCCGUCGCCGCGCUCGGCGUUGCCGCUGCCCGCAGCUUGUGCAGUUGUCCCGUUGCUUUCCCUUCCUUAUCCGAGCCCCACCACCGCACCACGUACUACGCGCCACUCCUGGCUCCCUUGCCCGUCCACCGGGCUCGGGCACUGCCGACUGCCGAGCGAGCCGAGCCGAGGCGAGCACGGGUGCCGCGCCGCCGUGUGCUCUGGACGUCAGGUGAUUGGUGAAUCCGUUCGGGUUCCUUACGUGGUUGGUGGGGCCGCGCGGUCGCGGGCAGUGGUUGAGCCGUUGUGACCGCGCGUCGCCGUCCCGGGGAUUUUUGUUGCGUGGCCUGGCCGGCCGGCCUGCCUCUGCCUGCCAGUGCCAGCCCUGCCCAUGCCCGCGUGGCCUGGUGGUGGGUGGGUGCCGGCGGUGCCCCCGGGAGCCAAACGCAAAUCCGGCGCGGGUCCAAGGCGUUGUUUAGUUCCGAAAAAAUUUCGGAUUUCGCUACUAUAGCACUUUCGUUUGUUUAUGGUAAAUAUUGUCCAAUCAUAGACUAACUAGGAUCAAAAGAUUCGUCUUGCGAUUUACAGACAAACUGUGUGAUUAAUUUUUAUUUUCAUCUAUAUUUAAUGCUUCAUGCAUGUGCCGUAAUAUUUGAUAUGACAGAGAAUCUUGAAAAGUUUUUGUAUUUCGGGGUGAACUAAACAAGGCCCAAAACCAAAAGGCGCGGGCACGGAGGGAGGAUGAUCCGAUGACGAGGCCGUGGUGGUCGUCAACAGUCAACAAUGCGCCCGCCAUGUCCCCGGACGAACAAAUCUUUUGCCGAUCCGCUCCUCCUCUUCGUUCGUUGCUGCCAUCACUGAUGCUCUGUCAAAAACAUGGGUGAAGUGCGAUUACUGGUCAGGAAACCCUUUAUGUUCCCUCCCUCUUCCAUUAUUCGGUUCCAAAGAGCCUCUCUUUUUUUUCCUCUCUCUUCCCUUGAACAGCAUGCAGCUGAUUGAUUACUCGACUG